Molecule: ribosomal RNA, 460 nt
Filed under: uncultured bacterium
Lineage: Bacteria
Description: partial 16S ribosomal RNA
Rfam family: Bacterial small subunit ribosomal RNA
Source: RNAcentral
CCUACGGGAGGCAGCAGUGAGGAAUAUUGGUCAAUGGACGAGAGUCUGAACCAGCCAAGCAGCGUGAAGGAUGACUGCCCUAUGGUUUGUAAAUUUCUUUUAUAUGGGAAUAAAAUGUUCCACGUGUGGGUUUUUGUAUGUACCAUAUGAAUAAGGAUCGGCUAACUUCGUCCCAGCAGCCGCGGUAAUACGGAGGAUCCGAGCGUUAUCCGGAUUUAUUGGGUUUAACGGGAGCGUAGGUGGAUUGUUAAGUCAGUUGUGAAAGUUUGCGGCUCAACCGUAGAAUUGCAGUUGAGACUGGCAGUCUUGAGUACCGUAGAGGUGGGCGGAAUUCGGGGUGGAGCGGUGAAAUGCUUAGAUAUCACGAAGAACUCCGAUUGCGAAGGCAGCUCACUGGACUGCAACUGACACUGAGGCUCGAAAGUGUGGGUAGCAAACAGGAUUAGAUACCCUUGUAGUC